UGAGGAAUAUUGGUCAAUGGACGCAAGUCUGAACCAGCCAAGUAGCGUGCAGGAUGACGGCCCUAUGGGUUGUAAACUGCUUUUAUAUGGGGAUAAAGUGGGGAACGUGUUCCCUUUUGCAGGUACCAUAUGAAUAAGGACCGGCUAAUUCCGUGCCAGCAGCCGCGGUAAUACGGAAGGUUCGGGCGUUAUCCGGAUUUAUUGGGUUUAAAGGGAGCGUAGGCCGUUUGGUAAGCGUGUUGUGAAAUGUAGGAGCUCAACUUCUAGAUUGCAGCGCGAACUGUCAGACUUGAGUGCCCACAACGUAGGCGGAAUUCAUGGUGUAGCGGUGAAAUGCUUAGAUAUCAUGAAGAACUCCGAUUGCGAAGGCAGCUUACGGGAGCGCAACUGACGCUAAAGCUCGAAGGUGCGGGUAUCGAACAGG
Molecule: ribosomal RNA, 424 nt
Filed under: Verrucomicrobiota bacterium
Lineage: Bacteria; Pseudomonadati; Verrucomicrobiota
Description: Verrucomicrobia bacterium partial 16S ribosomal RNA
Rfam family: Bacterial small subunit ribosomal RNA
Source: RNAcentral